NAACAGCUCAAAUUUGAAAUCUGGCCUCGUCGGGGCCCGAGUUGUAAUUUGUAGAGGGUGUUUCGGGCGCGAUGCCGGUCUAAGUUCCUUGGAACAGGACGUCGUAGAGGGUGAGAAUCCCGUAUGCGACCGGCGAUCAAGCCCGUGCGAAGCCCCUUCGACGAGUCGAGUUGUUUGGGAAUGCAGCUCAAAAUGGGUGGUAAAUUUCAUCUAAAGCUAAAUACCGGCCAGAGACCGAUAGCGGACAAGUAGAGUGAUCGAAAGAUGAAAAGCACUUUGGAAAGAGAGUCAAACAGUACGUGAAAUUGUUGAAAGGGAAGCGCUUGCAAUCAGACCGGUCCGGAGGCGAUCAGCCGCUGCUUGUCAGCGGUGCACUCGCCUGCGAUCCGGCCAGCAUCGGUUUGGGCGGCGGGACAAAAGUCCCGGGAAUGUAGCUUCUCUCGGGGAGUCUUAUAGCCCGGGUCGCAAUGCCGCCCGCCCGGACCGAGGACCGCGCUUCGGCUAGGAUGCUGGCGUAAUGGUUGCAAGCG
RNAcentral lists this ribosomal RNA (530 nucleotides) under Sticta aff. peltigerella. RNAcentral's name for it is "eukaryotic LSU rRNA". It matches the Rfam family "Eukaryotic large subunit ribosomal RNA", at positions 102 to 646 of the family's 3401-position model. The record is from RNAcentral. Lineage: Eukaryota; Fungi; Ascomycota; Lecanoromycetes; Peltigerales; Lobariaceae.